RNAcentral lists this long non-coding RNA (319 nucleotides) under Salvator merianae (Argentine black and white tegu). RNAcentral describes it as "lncRNA (ENSSMRG00000015892.1)". Lineage: Eukaryota; Metazoa; Chordata; Lepidosauria; Squamata; Teiidae. The record is from RNAcentral.
UGGAGAGCUUGAUCCAAAGUCACAAUCAGGUAAGCUUAUGCAACUGAAUAGUGACCUCAGCCAAAAGAAAUAUUCCUAUGGGAAUACACUGGAUUGAAGAGUACAAUUACUCCCCAAGUCUCUUCAGUUGUCCAAAAGCUGGACUGAAAUUGAUACACAUGCCUGACUACAAUACUGCAUCUGUUGAAAGCAGCACAUCUGAUAUCCUCUUGUUUGCAAAAUAAGAAACAAAUCCUUUCUUGUGUUAAGACUUGUAUUUCUUUUCUGUUGAAUGUUUGCCCCGAAUAAAAUGCUGAUGUAAAAUAUAAGUUUUAAAAGU